GUCGAGCGAUGAAGCUUCCUUCGGGAAGUGGAUUAGCGGCGGACGGGUGAGUAACACGUGGGUAACCUGCCUCAAAGUGGGGGAUAGCCUUCCGAAAGGAAGAUUAAUACCGCAUAAUAUAAGAGAAUCGCAUGAUUUUCUUAUCAAAGAUUUAUUGCUUUGAGAUGGACCCGCGGCGCAUUAGCUAGUUGGUAAGGUAACGGCUUACCAAGGCAACGAUGCGUAGCCGACCUGAGAGGGUGAUCGGCCACAUUGGAACUGAGACACGGUCCAGACUCCUACGGGAGGCAGCAGUGGGGAAUAUUGCGCAAUGGGGGAAACCCUGACGCAGCAACGCCGCGUGGGUGAUGAAGGUCUUCGGAUUGUAAAGCCCUGUUUUCUAGGACGAUAAUGACGGUACUAGAGGAGGAAGCCACGGCUAACUACGUGCCAGCAGCCGCGGUAAUACGUAGGUGGCGAGCGUUGUCCGGAUUUACUGGGCGUAAAGGGUGCGUAGGCGGAUGUUUAAGUGGGAUGUGAAAUCCCCGGGCUUAACCUGGGGGCUGCAUUCCAAACUGGAUAUCUAGAGUGCAGGAGAGGAAAGCGGAAUUCCUAGUGUAGCGGUGAAAUGCGUAGAGAUUAGGAAGAACACCAGUGGCGAAGGCGGCUUUCUGGACUGUAACUGACGCUGAGGCACGAAAGCGUGGGUAGCAAACAGGAUUAGAUACCCUGGUAGUCCACGCCGUAAACGAUGGAUACUAGGUGUAGGGGGUAUCAACUCCCCCUGUGCCGCAGUUAACACAAUAAGUAUCCCGCCUGGGGAGUACGGUCGCAAGAUUAAAACUCAAAGGAAUUGACGGGGGCCCGCACAAGCAGCGGAGCAUGUGGUUUAAUUCGAAGCAACGCGAAGAACCUUACCUGGACUUGACAUCCCUUGCAUAGCCUAGAGAUAGGUGAAGCCCUUCGGGGCAAGGAGACAGGUGGUGCAUGGUUGUCGUCAGCUCGUGUCGUGAGAUGUUAGGUUAAGUCCUGCAACGAGCGCAACCCUUGUUAUUAGUUGCUACCAUUAAGUUGAGCACUCUAAUGAGACUGCCUGGGUAACCAGGAGGAAGGUGGGGAUGACGUCAAAUCAUCAUGCCCCUUAUGUCCAGGGCUACACACGUGCUACAAUGGUAGGUACAAUAAGACGCAAGACCGUGAGGUGGAGCAAAACUUAUAAAACCUAUCUCAGUUCGGAUUGUAGGCUGCAACUCGCCUACAUGAAGCUGGAGUUGCUAGUAAUCGCGAAUCAGAAUGUCGCGGUGAAUACGUUCCCGGGCCUUGUACACACCGCCCGUCACACCAUGAGAGCUGGUAACACCCGAAGUCCGUGAGGUAACCGUAAGGAGCCAGCGGCCGAAGGUGGGAUUAGUGAUUGGGGUGAAGU
RNAcentral lists this ribosomal RNA (1405 nucleotides) under Clostridium botulinum. Its description in RNAcentral is "bacterial SSU rRNA". It matches the Rfam family "Bacterial small subunit ribosomal RNA". The record is from RNAcentral. Lineage: Bacteria; Bacillati; Bacillota; Clostridia; Eubacteriales; Clostridiaceae.